AUUUCUUGGGCCGCUCCCGCGGCAUAUGGAGGUUCCCAGGCUAGGGGUCGAAUUGGAGCUGUGGCUGCUGGCCUACGCCAGAGCCACAGCAACGCAGGAUCUGGGCCGCAUCUGCGACCUACAUCACAGCUCACGGCAACGCCGGAUCAUUAACCCACUAAGCUAGGGCAGGGAUCGAACCCGCAACCUCAUGGUUCCUAGUCGGAUUCGUUAACCACUGCGCCACGAUGGGAACUCCUACUUUCCAUUUUUAUAUUAAGAAAUUCUAGGAGUUCUCAGCAGAUUAAGAACCCAACAUAGUGUCCAUGAGGAUGCAAGUUGGAUCCCUGGCUUCACUCAGUGCAUUAAGGAUCUGGUGUUGCCAGAAGCUGAAGCAUAGGUCGAAGAUGCAGCUCGGAUCUGGUAUUGCCAUGUGCUUUGACCCUAGCCUGAGAACUUCCACAUACUUCCACAGGUGCAGCCAUAAAAAGAAAAAAAAUUCUCACAUAGUCUAUGUUUUUAUCUAAGGGGUGUGAAUAAAGUUCAAAGGCAGCACUGUUCGACAGAAUUUUCUGCAAUGAAAGAAAUGCUCUGUAGUUGUGCUGUCCAACACAGUAGUCACCAGCCACACAUGAAUAUUAGGUGUGAGCACUUAGGUGUGAUUAGUGCAAUUGUUGAACUGAAUUCUUAAUUUAAUUUGAUUCUAGUUACAUAAUUUAACUUAAAAUUUAAAUGAACAAAUGUAGCUUGUGGCAUAACAUUAAAAUAGUCAAAAUUGAUCCUCCAGGCACAUCUUGGCCUGUCAUUCUAUUGGCAGAGACGGUAUAUCAUGUGAUUCAUUUGAGAAAAAAAAAAAAAAAAAAAAAAGUCUCCCAACUAAAUCCAACUAAAUCUACCUAAAAUCUGAGAUGAUGCUGAAGUUUCAAAAAAGAUUAUUUUGUAUUAAAAAUUCCUAUAAAUAUGGCGAGGUUCUCACAGAAUUCUAGUUGAAGACUGCUUUUAUACCAAAACAUUAAUUGUCAUAAAACACUUUCUUCAGCAUUAAAAAAUAAAUCCUCACCUCCCAGUAGUUAGACUGAGAUCAGACUAAAAAUUUACUGUCUGAAAAUGAAGGUAUUUCUCUCAUCAGCUAGAACAUUAUAAUUGUUCUGGGCAAUAUUUUAAAAGAAAGGUGUUCUGAAACUGAUUCAGAAGAUGAUAGUCAGAAUGAAUAAGGGUCUAUAAAGAUUCAUAUCAGAGAACAUGGGGUUAUUAGCCAAGAAAAGGAAAAGCGUAGAGCUUGUAUGGGUGCUGUCUUCAAGCAAGUGAAUGCUUGUCAUCUAGAAAAAGGACUCAUGUUACUCUGCUCUAUUCCAUAGCACAGACCCAAGAUCAUAAGGAAGAAUUUAAAGAGAGACGAGGUGAUGAUAGCACUAUUCACAAGAGCCAAGACAUGGAAACAACCUAAAUGUCCAUCAACAGAUGAAUUCAUUAAGAUGUGGUACAUACACACAAUGGAAUACUACUCAGUCGUAAGAAAGGACAAAAUAAUGCCAUUUGCAGCAACAUGGAUGCAACUAGAGAUUCUCAUACUAAGUGAAGUAAAUCAAAAAGGGAAAGACAAAUACCAUAUGAUGUCACUUAUAUGUGGAAUCUAAAAUAUGGCACAAAUGAACUUAUCUACAGAACAGAAACAGACUCACAGACAUAGAGAUAAGACAUAUGGUUGCCAAGGUGGAGGGGGAGGGAGUGGAAUGGACUGGGAAUUUGGAGUUAGUAGGUGCGAACUAUUAAACUUAGAAUGGAUAAGUAAUGAGGUCCUACUGUAUGGUACAGGGAACUAUAUAUCCAGUCUAUAUGAAUAGAAAAAAAAUUUUUUAAGAAUUUACAUAAAUGUAUAACUGAGUCACUUUGCUACACAGCAGAAAUUGUAAUGAACUAAGUUUAUAGAACUAAAAAUUAUACUAUAAUUUAAUUUUAAGAUGGAACAAUUCAGGGGAAAUAUUAAAAAAUAGACCAAAAUGAACAAGCCAUUUGGGAAAAAAAUAGAGACUCGGUGGCCCCAGUAUCAGCAAGAGCAAGAAGGAAAUGGAGCUAUUCAGCAAGGGAAUUUGCUAUUUAUAAAGUGAUGCACUCUGGCUACUAAUUAUGUUCAGACAGAGACUCUGGAAAACCUAAAAGUCUAACAUUUAAAAUUAUAGUUAACAUAGAGUCCAUACAUCUCAAUAGAACUUACUGAGAAGUUGUCACAGUAGUCCUAGGAAUGCAAAGGCCUAGGUUAGCCAUUCCUUUUUGCUUAAAAAAAAAAUGAGGAUGUUUAGUGGAUAUUUGUAUAUUAUUACCAUAAAAUUUAAGUUACAUCUACAUCUAUUCUAUGUUUUGUCAUCAAAAUUUCAAGUUCUAUUUAAAUAUGUGUCCUAAAAAGAGCAAAGAGCUGUUCUAUUAGAUUAUGUGAUUUGAUUUAACAGUUCUGAGGACUAUUAAUAUGUAACUGUGAGCCUAUAUAUCAGUUAUAAGAUAUAUUCAUUGUAGUACAUAGAAAAUUCAGUGUGUUCUAGUAAGUUGUAAUUUAUGUUUUUAUAGGAGGCAGAGUUCGCUUACCAACCUUGUGGAAAUUAGCCCAACUAAGACAUCACUAAAAUAUUUCUAGUUAACUCGACCUAUAUAAUGUACUAAGUAAAUUUAGAAUGAGGAACAUAUCUAAAAGCACUUCUCAUUGUAAAUAUUAUUUUUCAAAUAAGACAAAAACUGUUCUAACAGAUUAAGAUGCAGUGCAUACACUCCAUUUUUUUUUCCAAAAUCUUAUUUUUUUCACAUUGUUGUUAGAAAUUUUCUCUUCUCUCUUUUCUAUUUAUUUAAUUCCCACCUAUAAUUCAAGGCCCUGUGAAACUCCCUUCUUUACCAUUAAGCCUUCCAAGAUUGCUCAGCCCAAGAUGAAGCCUUAGUCUUUUGAAUUUACACUAUGGCCCAUAGCAGCCAUCCAAGACAAUGCAGUAACAAAGCCAGAUUCUUAACCCACUGCACUACAAGGGAUUUCCUCCUUGUGUUUAUUUUCUAGUUGCCUCUGUUGGUUUAUUCAUAUUCCAGCAUGAUGUCUUGUAUAAAGAGGGACAUAAUAAAUGAUGAUUAGUUGAUGGAAAAGAGUUGGAAAAUCCACUAAUGGUGGAAUUGGCCAAACUAGGAUAAAUUUCUAUCCCAGUUAUAACAAAACCUAGUGGCUCAAAUAACCAUUUUAUUUUGUCCAAAGAUUCUCUUGGUCAGGAAUUUGGAAAGAGCACAGGGAGGCUGGCUUUUCCAUGCUCCAUGGUGUUGAAGGUCUCAGCUGCCAGUCUCUGAGGCUGGCAGUGACUCAAUGACUGGGGACUAGAAUCAUUUGAAGACUUGUUCAGUCGCAUGUCUGGUGUCUGGGUGGGAAUAACUCAAAGAUUAGGCCUGCCAACCAGAGUACCUAUCUGUGGCUUCUUCAUGUGGCUUGGGUCCUUCACAGUAUGGCAGCCUCAGGGGAGGCAGGGUUCCCAUCAUUAGCAUUCUGGCCAACCAUGUGAAAGCUAUAUUGCUGUUCCUGAUCUAGACUCUGAAGUUACAUAGUGCCCCUUCCUCCACACUCUAUUUGGAGUAAAACUCUCACAAAACCCAUUCAGAAUCAAGGCGAGAAAACAUAGACCCCAUCCUUGGGAGGAGUGGCAAGGUCACAUUGUCAAAGAGCAAAUUGGAUGGGAAAUAAUGUUAUGGCCAUUUUGGAAAGUAUAAUCUACAAUUCUUAAAUUCUUUGCAAAAUGCAAUUUCUGAGCCUCUUCCAGGCUAUAAGGGACUAUGCAGUAUUUGGAUAUGCUCAAUCUGUGAUCAAAUGCUCUAGAUCUAUGGAGUCUACCUCAAGAUACAACUAGUUGGUAACAACAGCAAUAAUAGACACCAUUUAUCGACAUAUAUACUAUUAAAUACUUACUAUGUGUCUGAUGAGCAUUAUCUAAUUCUGCUUUUAAAACAACAAAAAGAGUUUACUAUUACCCCAUUUUAACACCAAGAAAAUUGGGGGGCAAAAGUCAAGUAACUUGCCCAAGAUCUGAUAUUAGCCAGAUACGACAUCUUAACCCUGAGGCUAUACAGCCUCUUUGUAGGGAAUUGUUCUUAUAAAAGUUCAGAGCCUUUUAACCUUGCAGCUCUUUGUAAAUACUUAAGUCUGUCUGAGGAGUGUCACUUUUACCACUGAAUCCUCCUGCAGCCUGCUAUAUUGUUCCUGGUUUUGUGUAGCUUGCAAAAACCUUUCUGGAAACUUUGUCAAAUUGUUUCUCAGUUUUUUUCUCUAACCACAACUUGGUCAUAAUUGCUCCUGGCAUCUGUUUUCAUCAGCUCAGAACAUCAUUUCUUCCCUUGUUCUUGCCUGUAAUAGCAGUGGCAAAGCAACAAGUAAGAACAAAUCCACAGGAGGCAACUAAUAUCUCCUAAUAGCAUCUUUUGUUCCUAUGUUUGAAUCAUACUGUACGGCUCAUACCCAGCUCUGAAGUAAGAAUCUUUUUGCAUGUUUUUUUAAAAAAGAUUUACCUGAGUGCCUGAGUGAUGAUUUUCUCUGAUUUAUGGGACAGAAGAAGGUUCCUGCUGCUGCCAGAAUUUUCCCAUCUAGUUAAACACAGAUUAGUGAAACCUGAGAUACCCCAAGGACUAAUUAAAGAGAAACUGCCAAACCAUUGGAAAAUAGAAUUUCCACAUAGAUUUCCCUGUGGCUAUGCUUAUCAAUUUGUAGGAAACCAAGAACAAAUAUUCCAAAUAGUGAUUAAUGGUCUGAAUGAAAAUUUCACACACGCACAAAGAACCCAUUUAAUAAACUAAUGAUGGAAAGUACAAUUGUGGAUAAGCUGCUACACAUUUCUCUCCUUGGAGGUUCAAAUGCAGCAGUGAAACUAAGCAGGUACUAGAAUGAAUUGAUUUUUUUUUUCCUGAAAAGAAAUCCUGUUUCAUCUCUAUUUUCUAAACUCUUUUUUGUCUUGUCAGGCAUCUGUCUCUUGUAUUGCACAAGAAUAGAAAGCCACAAACUGCUUUGAAAGGUGCUAAUAUUCACCAUUCAAUUAGUAUCUCCUAGACUAUUUAAUUGGAACUGGCCUUUUUGGUUUAGCAUUAGCAAGGGAACAGAGAACUGCAUUUCCUUUAGGUUGAGUACUGGGGAAUAUGUGUUCUGAACAUCAAUUUAAAGGCCAAGAAACAGGAAAAAUGUGUCAGGUAACAUAACCCCUGCUGGGCUUCCAGAAACCAAUUACUGAAGCCAUCUUGGAUAGCUGUGGAGGGGAACACAAAGAGAUUUUAGCAGGUACUGGUUCCUGGGUAGAUUCUAAACAUUCCAUUCUAAGGAAAUGUAUAGAUAUAUCAAAGUAGAAGAUGCACAUCUGGAACAUUCAGAACAUAACUGAGAUGGAAAAAGAAUGAAAGACAACACUGCCUGCAACAGCCAUUGAACUACAGCAACCCAUGAAAUGGAAGAAUGGAUAAAAAAGCAAUAGGAAUCAAUGAGAUUAUAUAUAAAAUAAUUAUUUCAAGUUUCUUAGAAUUAUUGAAUACUAAGGGCUAAAAGGAAUCUUAAAAUAAUAUUCUCCUUAACUUUCUUAUUUUAUGCUGUAUUUUGUUUGAUAAGGGAGAAGUAGAGAAAAAAGUGGAUAAUGAAUAGUAAAAGUAGUGUUAGCUACAGGUCUCUUAACCUCUGGACAAUGACCUUUCAUAUCAUACUUCUUAGAAUGCAUAUUUUGUAGAGUAGCUUAUAGUAUGGUCAUAUACAUCAUUUCGUUGUAUUGUCACAUGAUGUAAGAUGUCAGAAGAGGCACCAGUGCACUUCAAAGAUGAUGCAUUUACUUAAAUACAAUUAGAUAUAGAAAGUUUAGUAUACUAAUAUUAUCUGCAUAGGUAAUAAUUCAAACAACUCAAACUCUAAGCCUCCAGCUUUCUGGUCCUAUGUUCUUUCUACUGGCUUGGAUUUCCCAGGUAAAUAGAAAUACUUAAAACUUUUAACAUUCAUGUAAUAUCUACACUGGAGAUUAAAUGACUGUGCCCACUGAAUAUGACCAAGUACAAAUACUUAUGACACUAAAUUCUAUUCAGUGAUACCUGGGAAUAAUAUACUCCUAUAACAAAUUCCUAGUAAAGAAAGCCAUGAUAGAAAACAAUCAAACAAACCAAAAACCCAGAAGCAAUGAGCACACAGUGGCAAGUUUUUACAGGUGGCAAGAUUUAAAAGCAAUCAACCAACCAACAACUUAAUUUUUUUUGUGCAUAAGAAAUGUAUAGUGAUUCAAGCAAGGAAAAGGCAGUUCCAUUCAUCUUCAGCCACCGCAAUUUUUCCAACAAUUCUCUUCAUCCCUUUCUCUUAUCAGAAAAGGAAAAGCUUCAUUCAUUCAUUCAGUCAGUCAGUCAGUCAUUCAUCUGUUCAUCUGAUCAUCCAUUUACAGCUAUUUGUUGAGCAUCUAUUCCAUGAUAGCACCAUGCAAGGUGU
RNAcentral lists this long non-coding RNA (6433 nucleotides) under Sus scrofa (pig). Its description in RNAcentral is "lncRNA (ENSSSCG00025008543.1)". Lineage: Eukaryota; Metazoa; Chordata; Mammalia; Artiodactyla; Suidae. The record is from RNAcentral.